Molecule: long non-coding RNA, 536 nt
Organism: Acipenser ruthenus (sterlet)
Lineage: Eukaryota; Metazoa; Chordata; Actinopteri; Acipenseriformes; Acipenseridae
Exons: 4
Source: RefSeq, a predicted model, not a curated record
AGCAAACGACAGUGGGGGGGUCCUCUUAAAGGAACAGUACUUUACAGUAUGUAACACGUAACGUGAAGUCAUGUUUUAUAUAUUUCCAGAAAGAGAGAAUGACCCCUUUUGGAAACUGCUACAUUUCUUAUUGUGUUGACUGAGGUGGUAUAGGAAGGAGGAGUGACUUUAACAAGGUCGCAGCAGUGAGUCAGCAGUACUGGGACCUCCUGGCUCCUAUUCCUUUUGUUCUAUCUACCAGACUACACUGCAUCCCAUGCAAUACAAAAGAAAACAGCUUUUAUUGACAAUCACACUUAAAGGACUCACUUCACUUUGAUGCUGGACCAUUUUCCCUGCUGCAAACAAUAAGUCCCGUCCCCCCCCCCCCCAUUAUGUGGGGUCAGGAUCAGAUCAAGAUAUAGGUUAAAAUGUGUGUGUUGAACCGUGAAGUACCCACCAUCAACUCGGACCCCUCUCAUCUGCGUUCUCUGCAUCUUCUUUAGCAAGGACAAGGAGUCUGCCACCAGGAUUUUCUUACAGCCCUCUCGCAGCAG